GACGAACGCUGGCGGCGUGCUUAACACAUGCAAGUCGAACGAAGAGCGAUGGAAGCUUGCUUCUAUCAAUCUUAGUGGCGAACGGGUGAGUAACGCGUAAUCAACCUGCCCUUCAGAGGGGGACAACAGUUGGAAACGACUGCUAAUACCGCAUACGAUCUAAUCUCGGCAUCGAGGAUAGAUGAAAGGUGGCCUCUACAUGUAAGCUAUCACUGAAGGAGGGGAUUGCGGCUGAUUAGCUAGUUGGGGAGGUAACGGCCCACCAAGGCGAUGAACAGUAGCCGGACUGAGAGGAUGAACGGCCACAUUGGGACUGAGACACGGCCCAGACUCCUACGGGAGGCAGCAGGGGGGAAUCUUCCGCAAUGGACGAAAGUCUGACGGAGCAACGCCGCGUGAGUGAUGACGGCCUUCGGGUUGUAAAGCUCUGUUAAUCGGGACGAAAGGCCUUCUUGCGAAUAGUGAGAAGGAUUGACGGUACCGGAAUAGAAAGCCACGGCUAACUACGUG
Molecule: ribosomal RNA, 510 nt
Filed under: uncultured bacterium
Lineage: Bacteria
Description: partial 16S ribosomal RNA
Rfam family: Bacterial small subunit ribosomal RNA
Source: RNAcentral